GGUCCCAGGCCCUACGGGGCGCAGCAGUCGCGCAAACUUUGCAAUAAGCCGAAAGCUUGACAGGGCCAUCCCCGAGUGCCGUCCGCUGAGGAUGGCUUUUCCCCAGUAUAGAUAGCUGGGGGAAUAAGGAGAGGGCAAGUCUGGUGUCAGCCGCCGCGGUAAUACCAGCUCUCCGAGUGGUGUGGAUGUUUAUUGGGCCUGAAGCAUUCGUAGCCGGCUGGGUAAGUCCUCUGUUAAAUCCAGCGAUUUAAUCGUUGGGCUGCGGGGGGUACUGCCCGGCUUGGGGGCGAGAGAGGCCGACGGUACUCUCAGGGUAGGGGUGAAAUCCUAUAAUCCUGGGAAGACCACCAGUGGCGAAGGCUGUCGGCUAGAACGCGCCCGACGGUGAGGGAUGAAAGCUGGGGGAGCGAACCGGAUUAGAUACCCGGGUAGUCCUAGCUGUAAACGAUGCAGGCUAGGUGUCAGGGCGGCUACGUGCCGCUCUAGUGCCGCAGGGAAGCUGUUAAGCCUGCCGCCUGGGGAGUACGGCCGCAAGGCUGAAACUUAAAGGAAUUGGCGGGGGAGCACCACAAGGGGUGAAGCUUGCGGUUUAAUUGGAGUCAACGCCGGAAAUCUCACCGGGGGCGACAGCAGA
RNAcentral lists this ribosomal RNA (634 nucleotides) under uncultured crenarchaeote. RNAcentral's name for it is "bacterial SSU rRNA". It matches the Rfam family "Archaeal small subunit ribosomal RNA", at positions 312 to 946 of the family's 1478-position model. The record is from RNAcentral. Lineage: Archaea; Thermoproteati; Thermoproteota.